GGAGGGGUGCCUGAGCGGUUGAAAGGGCUGGUCUUGAAAACCAGUAGACCAGGAAUGGUCUCGCGAGUUCGAAUCUCGCCCCCUCCG
This 87-nucleotide transfer RNA is filed under the name bacterium. RNAcentral describes it as "tRNA-Ser". It matches the Rfam family "tRNA". From Rfam's summary of the family: Transfer RNA (tRNA) molecules are approximately 80 nucleotides in length. Their secondary structure includes four short double-helical elements and three loops (D, anti-codon, and T loops). The record is from RNAcentral.